UACAGAGGGCCCGAGCGUUGUUCGGAUUCAUUGGGCGUAAAGGGCGCGUAGGUGGCGAGGUAAGUCUGGUGUGAAAUCUCGGGGCUCAACCUCGAAAUUGCAUUGGAUACUGCGUUGCUUGAGGCUUGUAGAGGAGAGUGGAAUUCACGGUGUAGCAGUGAAAUGCGUAGAUAUCGUGAGGAAGACCAGUUGCGAAGGCGACUCUCUGGGCAAUUCCUGACACUGAGGCACGAAGGCUAGGGGAGCAAACGGG
This 253-nucleotide ribosomal RNA is filed under the name uncultured bacterium. RNAcentral describes it as "partial 16S ribosomal RNA". It matches the Rfam family "Bacterial small subunit ribosomal RNA", at positions 524 to 776 of the family's 1533-position model. The record is from RNAcentral.